ACGUACACUCCUGCGGGAGGCAGCAGUGGGGAAUAUUGCACAAUGGGCGCAAGCCUGAUGCAGCCAUGCCGCGUGUAUGAAGAAGGCCUUCGGGUUGUAAAGUACUUUCAGCGGGGAGGAAGGCGAUAAGGUUAAUAACCUUGUCGAUUGACGUUACCCGCAGAAGAAGCACCGGCUAACUCCGUGCCAGCAGCCGCGGUAAUACGGAGGGUGCAAGCGUUAAUCGGAAUUACUGGGCGUAAAGCGCACGCAGGCGGUCUGUCAAGUCGGAUGUGAAAUCCCCGGGCUCAACCUGGGAACUGCAUUCGAAACUGGCAGUCUAGAGUCUUGUAGAGGGGGGUAGAAUUCCAGGUGUAGCGGUGAAAGGCGUAGAGAUCUGGAGGAAUACCGGUGGCGAAGGCGGCCCCCUGGACAAAGACUGACGCUCAGGUGCGAAAGCGUGGGGAGCAAACAGGAUUAGAAACCCCGGUAGUCCC
Molecule: ribosomal RNA, 476 nt
Filed under: uncultured organism
Description: partial 16S ribosomal RNA
Rfam family: Bacterial small subunit ribosomal RNA
Source: RNAcentral